Chlorocebus sabaeus (green monkey) is the source of this 2343-nucleotide non-coding RNA. Lineage: Eukaryota; Metazoa; Chordata; Mammalia; Primates; Cercopithecidae. The record is from RefSeq and is a predicted model, not a curated record.
AUGUGGAGCAACUGGAACUCUCCUAUGCUGCUGGGGAAGGGGUAAAUUAAUACCAUCCCUUUGGAAGAACCGUUUGGAAGCAUCACUAAAGCUGAACAUAUUCAUGCCUACUCCAGAAAUCCUGAGCCCAGUGGCUCCCUUUGAAGAACUGCCUUGGGGUUCAUGUUGCAGCAUCAAACAGGGAUGGAAGAUGCAUCUUGCUUUAGCAGCAGGACCCUGGAAAGCAGCUGAAGCCCUGGAGGGUGCCUGGCACACAGAAUCUUGCGCUGAGCCCGGAGCACAAUGGGAGUGGGCUAGCGGGGUGGGUUCACAGCUGGACUGGGAGCAGCAGACAUACAGGCCGUAGGCACAGACACAUACAUACAGUCAUGCAGAUUGCAGGAUGCCUGAGAGCACAGACUCUCACAUGCACAAACACGUGCAUGAUCACCAAUGUGCAUCCAGACAGUAGCCCCACAUGCACGCACAUGCAUGCACACAUGUGAUGUGUACAUAGAUGGACACAUGUCUAUGCCCACUAACACUGCAGAGACACACACAAAAGUGUCUGGCAAGGAACACUAUUUUGUCCUCAAUUUUCUGCCAGCGAGAGUCUACUAACUCCAUCUCUGAAAUGUCCGUGCUUAUUGUCCCUCUUCUCUACCUGUGCCACAGCCCUAGUCCCUGAAACUCCCACCAAGACCCCUGGGCAAUAGCAAAGUCAGGAAAGGAUUCCUGCUCCGCCUCUACUCCACCCUUAAGCCCAUCCUACAUGCAAGAGCAGGAGUUAUCUGGGUAUCAAGCAAAUCUAACCACAUCACCUCCCCACUGCUUAAAACGCUUUCCUACAGGAUGAAGUUUAAAUCACUUGGCAUCCCAUAUAAGGCCCUUGACUGUCUGGUAUCAGCCAUAGUCUGGCCUCAGGCCCUGUCAUGGAGCCCCCUGGACUCAAUGCUCUGGCUGAGGGCCUCCAGGAUGAAGAUGCUGUGUGCAAAGUCUCACACUUUUGCUGUUGCUGGGCUACUAUGUGAAAUUCCCUCCUCCCUCCUUCCACCUUCCCUAUGCUGAACUGCCACUCCUCCAUCCUCCAUGGCCAGCUAAGCCAACACCUCCCCACUUCCUCCUGACAACCCAGGCACAGCCUGUCCCAUGGCUGUCACAGCCCUUUCUUGGGCUCUUAAUGGUAUCAUUGUCACCUGUGUGCUCAUGAGCCUCCGCCACUCAACUCCAAGCACAUCAAAUACAGAGCCCAAAACAUACUGGGUACUCAACAAAUUUCUGGGUGUGAGUGAAUGAAUGAAUUAGUCUGUAAGACAGGAUCACGCUAGGUGAUUGUUCUGGCUACAAAACCUGGGCAUGUCCUGUAUGUAACUCCUAUGAUCUCAGCCUCCACAUAGGUAAAAAGGGCUCUCUACCUCCUGGCAGAAUCUAUGGUUCAGACCAUGGAGAUGUAUAUAAAUAACUGAGCUGAGUGGCUAACAUGGUGGGCGCUCCACAGAUGACAGCCAUAGUUGCUGUCUUUAACUUCUAUUUUUAUUUCCACUGAAGUCUUUCCAUUCAUGUUUCUUAAUUCUCCAUCUCCCUCACUGCCUAUCCAGUUCAGUGCUGGGCUCCCGGAACCGGCUCAUUGAAGGUGUGUUGUCGGAUUGAUCGGCUGAAUGGCUUCUUAAGGCUUGUUUCCAGUCUGAGAACUCUGAGCUGAGUACCGCUCUUCCUCCCUCCCAGCCUCCCCCGAGACUGGAAGCAGAGAGCCGUACAGAGAUCACUCCUCUUCCAGGCUCCAGAAGCUGAACAGCUGCUCUGUUUGGAGUUCUGUGCGCUGAGCUGAGUUAGGACCUGGGGGGACGGGAACAGCUGAGCCUUUCUGCUCCAAAAAACAGAGUCAUUUCAGCCACAGCCACCCAGCAGCUGCCUAGCCCCUCCCAGACGCCCCCAGGGAUGCUGCACAUGUGGCUAGGGUUCCCAUAGGAACCUCUGUGGAGACCUGCCGUCCCUGCUUCCCCACAUCUCCUUUUGGACUUGUGAGAGAGGUUAGGAAGAGGAGGGGAGGGGAAAGGACAGGACUGGCAGGCACUUUCGUACACAAACACCCAGUCUCUUAAUCCUCACAAUAACUCUAAGAAAUAUCCUUUUAUUAUCCUUGUUGUACUGACAAGGAAACUGAGGCCCAAAGACAUCUGACCCAAGUUCACCCAGGUAACGAACAAGAGAACUGGUCUGCCACCUUAUCGGUUUGUACUGAUGCAGUUAGUGUCAGUCAGUACCAGCUAGGGAUCUCUGGUUGCAAGCAACAGAAACCAACUCCCACUAUCACAAACAAAAAAUAUACUGAAGGACUGUGGUGCCACACCAGAAGGAAAGGAA